RNAcentral lists this ribosomal RNA (885 nucleotides) under Aspidodera sogandaresi. RNAcentral's name for it is "partial 16S ribosomal RNA". Lineage: Eukaryota; Metazoa; Nematoda; Chromadorea; Rhabditida; Aspidoderidae. The record is from RNAcentral.
AGGAGGUGAUGUAUGGGUAUGUUAGAUUAAGCUUUGUAGUUUAUGAUAAAAUUUUUGUAUGUGGAGCAAAGGAAAGGAGGGGCUUUAGGUUUUUUGCUAUUUGUUUUUUAGUUUUGCAUAUUAUUAGAAGAGUAUUUUUAUUAUUGAUAAUUAGUAGAAAUAAAAGGGGAGGGAUUUUUGAUUUUAUUGUUGUAUAAUAGGAAUUAUUGUUUUUUGUUUUGAUAUAACGUCUUUUAUUAUAUCUGUGUUUUAUUUGUUUCUUAGAAAAUUGUAAAUUUGGUUUGUUUUUAUGGAAGUGUAGGAUUUGGAGUUUUUUGUGUUUUAGUGUUAUGACUUUUUCUGUGGCUGUGUUUGAUUUUUUAUUGUUUAUAUUAAUAUUUUAAUGUUUAAAUAAUUUUUGAUUUAGUAGAUUGUUGAGAUUGUAUUUGUUGUUAUGGAUUUAGAUUUAAUGACUGGUUUUAUAAUCAAAUGUUUAUUAAAGACUUAGACACUAAUUUGGUGUUGUCCUCUGCUCUAUGAUUAUUAAAUGGCCGCCUUAGCGUGAGGGCAUGAAAGUAGCAAAAUAAUUUGUGUUUUUAAUGGAUUCGAGUAUGAAAGGGGGUUUGGUUAUUUUUGUUUUGUUUUUGUUUUGAAUUAAAGUAGUGUUUAAUAAUUAAUAUGUGUAGUUAAACAAAGAUAAGUCUUCGGAAAUUCUGUUAAUUAUAGGAGAUUUGAAUUUUGUAGUUAUGUUGUUUAGGGCAAGAUUUUGUAUAAAGGGGUUUACUAGUUUUAAGAUAAAGAGUUACUUCGGAGUUAACAGAAAAUCACAUUUUUUCUAGAUGUUAUAGAUAAAAGGGUUUUACAUCGGUGUUGUAUUCUAAUUGGCCGGAGGAGUAGGAUAAAAGG